This 424-nucleotide ribosomal RNA is filed under the name uncultured bacterium. RNAcentral describes it as "partial 16S ribosomal RNA". It matches the Rfam family "Bacterial small subunit ribosomal RNA", at positions 359 to 776 of the family's 1533-position model. The record is from RNAcentral.
CAUAUUGGGCAAUGGGGGAAACCCGGAUCCAGCCAUCCGGCGAGUAUGAUGUAGGCCUUCGGCUUGUCAAGUACUUUUGGCAGUGAAGAAAAGGUAUCUCCUAAUACGAUACACUGCUGACGGUAUCUGCAGACGAUGGACCGCCUAACUACGUUCCAGCAGCCGCGGUAAUACGUAGGGUGCAAGCGUUAAUCGGAAUUACUGGGCGUAAAGCGUGUGUAGGCAGUUCGGAAAGAAAGAUGUGAAAUCCCAGGGCUCAACCUUGGAACUGAAUUUUUAACUGCCCAGCUAGAGUAUGUCAGAGGGGAGUGGAAUUCCACGUGUAGCAGUGAAAUGCGUAGAUAUGUGGAGGAACACAGAUGGCGAAGGAAGCCCCCUGGGAAAAUACUGACGCUCAGACACGAAAGCGUGGGGAGCAAACAGG